This 253-nucleotide ribosomal RNA is filed under the name uncultured bacterium. RNAcentral describes it as "partial 16S ribosomal RNA". It matches the Rfam family "Bacterial small subunit ribosomal RNA", at positions 524 to 776 of the family's 1533-position model. The record is from RNAcentral.
UACGUAGGGGGCAAGCGUUGUCCGGAAUUAUUGGGCGUAAAGAGCGCGUAGGCGGUCCGAUAAGUCGGCUGUGAAAGUCAGGGGCUCAACCCUUGAAAGCCGGCCGAUACUGUCGGACUAGAGUCCGGAAGAGGCAAGUGGAAUUCCCGGUGUAGCGGUGAAAUGCGCAGAUAUCGGGAGGAACAUCAGUGGCGAAAGCGACUUCCUGGACCAGUACCGACGUUCAGGCACGAAAGCGUGGGGAGCAAACAGG